GUGCAGCUCUUCCAGCAUGGUGGGGCUUGUAGUAGUCCUGUCCGUUCCUGUAGAUGCUGCUAGAUCAGCCCUGGGACGGUUUGAGGCCUCUCCCUGCUGCAUUGGGGGGAGGUUAUAGAAAUCCCAGACACGU
This is a small nucleolar RNA of Bufo gargarizans (Asiatic toad), 133 nucleotides long. RefSeq annotates it as small nucleolar RNA SNORA9. NCBI's taxonomy places the organism in Eukaryota, Metazoa, Chordata, Amphibia, Anura, Bufonidae. The record is from RefSeq and is a predicted model, not a curated record. The transcript has a single exon.